CUGAUUGAUUCCUCCCCAUCGCGAUCCAACUGGGGCGGCGGCGGCUGGAUUCAUCUCUCUCCUCACCUUUGGAUGCUUGGUUGCCUGAUUGGUUGGAUGGCCGUGAGAUGUGGGACCUAGGGACGUUCUUCCUUCCUAGCCAUUUUGGGAAAUUCAGGCCUCCGCCACAGCAAUCAUCACCGCAUCAUCCAUUGUUGUCGCCAGGAAUUAUAAGUUAUCGUCUUAGCACUUGUUCUCCUUUCAAUGUUCAUGUUCUCUUCCAGAUGAUAAUCAUAUAAUAUGGGGUUGUUAAGAAGAAAAAGAAGAAGAAGAAAACCAUCGCGUUUCAUGAUUUUGUAAUACAUACUACUGCCAUCUCUCACAGCUAGUCACUCGGUGGGCUGGAAAUGGAGGGAGUAGCUGGGUGGCUGGUGGUGACCCAGCUCCCCUCAAUCAAGCUCUCCUGGUGGUGGAGGCGAUGAUUGACAAGCAUCGGCACGGCACGGCAGCCUUGAUGCUGGCUUCUUGGAUUCUGCAAUCCUGGACGGAAUGACGGACGGAUGAAAUCUCCCUCGUCCCAUUUUUUUUAAACCCAGAAAAAGGGUGGAGUGAGGAAAAGACGGACCGAAUCUUGGAAACGAGAACCAAAUCAUCUCCGCGUUGGUGCGGUGGUCUGCGGAACCAAUCAUCUCCCUCGCUCUGUUCGUCUGAAUCGUCUUGCUGUGUGCCAGAAGCCGAGAACGGAUGGUCGCCAGGUAAAGCACACUCCCUCGCGACGAGAGCUGAUCACCGAUGGCUGGGCUGAUGAUGUUUACUCUUUUUUUAUGGCUCUGCCGUUUGCUUCUUUUGGGCCUGCGAUUGCGAGACAGCGAGAGGCGCCGCCGC
This 864-nucleotide long non-coding RNA is filed under the name Zea mays. RNAcentral describes it as "long non-coding RNA (ZMAY_LNC002644)". The record is from RNAcentral. Lineage: Eukaryota; Viridiplantae; Streptophyta; Magnoliopsida; Poales; Poaceae.